AGUGAACGCUGGCGGCAGGCCUAACACAUGCAAGUCGAACGGCAGCACAAGAGAGCUUGCUCUCUGGGUGGCGAGUGGCGGACGGGUGAGGAAUGCGUCGGAAUCUGCCCAUUUGUGGGGGAUAACCUCGGGAAACCGGGACUAAUACCGCAUACGACCUACGGGUGAAAGCAGGGGAUCUUGGACCUUGCGCAGAUGGAUGAGCCGAUGCCGGAUUAGCUAGUUGGAGGGGUAAAGGCCCACCAAGGCGACGAUCCGUAGCUGGUCUGAGAGGAUGAUCAGCCACACUGGGACUGAGACACGGCCCAGACUCCUACGGGAGGCAGCAGUGGGGAAUAUUGGACAAUGGGCGCAAGCCUGAUCCAGCCAUGCCGCGUGUGUGAAGAAGGCCUUCGGGUUGUAAAGCACUUUUGUUGGGAAAGAAAAGCAGCCGGUUAAUACCCGGUUGUCAUGACGGUACCCAAAGAAUAAGCACCGGCUAACUUCGUG
This 489-nucleotide ribosomal RNA is filed under the name uncultured bacterium. RNAcentral describes it as "partial 16S ribosomal RNA". It matches the Rfam family "Bacterial small subunit ribosomal RNA", at positions 29 to 507 of the family's 1533-position model. The record is from RNAcentral.